CCUACGGGCGGCUGCAGUAGGGAAUAUUGGACAAUGGGCGCAAGCCUGAUCCAGCCAUCCCGCGUGAAGGAUUAAGGCCCUCUGGGUUGUAAACUUCUUUUCUUUGGGAAUAAAAACUCCGAUUCAUCGGAGCUUGAAGGUACCAGAGGAAUAAGCACCGGCUAACUCCGUGCCAGCAGCCGCGGUAAUACGGAGGGUGCAAGCGUUAUCCGGAUUCAAUGGGUUUAAAGGGGGCGUAGGAGUCAUUGGUGAAAGCCCGGAGCUCAACUCCGGAACUGCCAUUGAUACUGCUUAGCUUGAAUCAGGUCGAGAUGGAUGGAAUAUUACAUGUAGCGGUGAAAUGCUUAGAUAUGUCAUAGAACACCGAUUGCGAAGGCAGUUCACUAGGCCUGUAUUGACACUGAGGCACGAAAGCGUGGGGAUCAAACAGGAUUAGAUACCCCAGUAGUC
Molecule: ribosomal RNA, 450 nt
Filed under: uncultured bacterium
Lineage: Bacteria
Description: partial 16S ribosomal RNA
Rfam family: Bacterial small subunit ribosomal RNA
Source: RNAcentral